GGACAACUUCAUCAAGACAGAGCUGCUUCUUUCAUGCACCCAAAUCUAUCUGGCCAUUUUUCACUGCAUGUGGUUCCCUGCAAGCCUUCAUCUAAGGCAGGAAAAUAAAAUGGCAAAAAUUAAACUUUGGAGUUGAUUCCAGAGAGGAGAACACAAGUGCCCAGUAAGUCUUUAACAUGACAUAUCAUGCACAGUGCCAUGUCACCUUUACACAUUUUCCUUCCUGUCCAAGACCUUUAGGAUACAACCCUGAAUAAUCACAGACUCCUGUUCAGUCAGAAAAUGUAACCCAGUUGUAACCUGUGAUGUAAAGUUCUUUGGCUUAAUAAAUAUCUCCUAUUAGUCAUACGGUCAGAGAAAAUACCCUUUUUAAAAAUGUUAAUCUUACUGACAGCAUUUGAUAUUCAGCCAUGAAACAGGCCUGAGUCACCUGUCAGAUUUCUCUCAAAUCAAGGGAAGCAGAAUUCAUUAAAGUGUUCUUACCACAUCCCUAUCAAAUCCAGAGAUCUCAUACACACAUUUUCCCAACCUUUUCUGCUGUUAUUAGCAGUAGACAUUGUUCUCAGAGCACCUUCAUCUCUUUCUACUGAUCAGCCAAAGGCCUGCCAUGUUUACGCACUAACAGUCCCUUCUCCUGCAGGUCCUCCCAGCUAUCCUUUUUUAAUUGAUGAUAAUGUCUCAAUUUUGCACCAACUUUUUCACCUUUAUUAUUUCAAAACCAGCAAUUCCCAUCCUGCCGUGUAAAAUUUGGAUGGUGUCUGAGCUGUUACUCUCUUCAUGUUCAGGAUUUCACAGUCAGGUUACAAGACCUACUAUUAGCUUCUUACUGCUCUGAUCACAAGAAUUGUUAUUAUUGAAAUAGUUCUUUCCCUUUUCACACAAAAUAUGAAUCCCAUGGCCUUGUGCAACACAGCUGCUCAACUGUAUCUCAGUCCAAGGAUGAAUUUCAAUUCAUUCAUUUUUGACUGAGACACAGGUCUCAAUUUUGUUUCCCUUUCCCUGUCUUUAUCAUAGUCCUUUUUGAAUUAUCUCAAAAUCCUCCAUAUCUUAAACCUCAAAAAUCUUCAAGUUUAUCUGACCCAAUCCCAAAGUAAGCAGGAUUUUGUUAACUUUACAUUCCAAGCCUACAAGCAUUCUUAUGCUUAAUUGUAUCAGUGCAGGAACUUAUAGGUUCAGGUAAUCAGUAAGGUGAUUGAUAAUCUAUUGAUUCUAGUUAACAGUAGGAACAAAUUGACUGUGACAUCACAGUCACAGGUUUGGUAGCCUGGCUACCAAAUCUAUCUUCUAGGACACUGAUUUGUUUACCCAUUACUAAUGUGCCUGCUGCUCACAUAAUAAUGCAGAGAGUUCUAGAAUUCAAACUAUUCCUGCAGCAGACUAUGCAAAUUUUAUGACAUCUGAGGAAGAUAAGCAGGCCAAGGUCCUGAUUCUGAUUCUGAAGGAGCACAGGACAAGGUUUGUCUCUCCAUAAGCUGUGCAGCAGCUGAGCAGCACAGGGACAGCGAGGCCUGUCCCCAGUGACAGCACCAACUGAUUUCAUUUGGAGGUACAAGGAAGGUUUGGCCUGCGUGUUCAGCAGGUGAGCCAGCUGUUCCUUUGGCACCUGAGAGCUGUCACACCCAUUUCCCUCAGGAUGAUUUUAAGGCAGCUCUAAUGUAGAUUAAAGCAAUAACAUGAAGUCAAGGCAAGCCCUUAUCUCACGGAAGGCAGAGAGUGUGAACACAGUGGUGCUUCAGCUCCUGCAGGAUAACCCACUGAAACACAUUCCCAUUCCAGAAAAGGCCAAAGGCCACCACAGUGAGGGAUGACAUCCUUUGGGGCUGAAAAUGGGCCCUUCAGUAAGGGAUAUUCUAUAAUUGAUGGACGUCAAUUUUGUGGCUGAUAGGGUACAAUGGUGGAUUUACCAUUCCACAAAUGCCAGCCUCUUUAACAACAGCUGCACAAUGACCUACUUUAAAAAAAGACACGUGAAGAUUCCAUUUUGGAAGACAGCUGCCUAGAAAUUAAUAUUUCCAAAUUAAUGUGGAGAGCCUAAAUACUACUGCCUCAGGCCCUUGUGCCAGAAAGGUUAAGUACCACAUUUAAUAGAUAAUCUCUAUGAUUAAUUUAUCAGAAAGGACCAAGUGGCUAAUUUACCCUAAUUGAAAUUUUCUGGCAUGAUAAAAAAUUUUCAUAUAUAAUUCCACUUCCAUUUAAAUCCAUUGUACUAACUUAUUACACAAAAGCAAACAAAACUACAGUCUUGAAUCCUGCUUUCUUCUUCCGGUAAUGGAACAAAAUACUUCCAUGGCCACAUAGAAAAUAGUAGAAUGGAUUUUCCUGAGGAUGGACGAUAAAAAAGGGAUCAAACAUUCAAAUCCUAUUUCGAAUCCAGUUCCUGGUUUCGAAGACAAAAAUGGGCCCAGAUUUACAGAGGGCUUCACAGUCAUCAGCUUUUGUUUUUAGCUCUGGGACAAACCUGGCUGUAUCUCACUGUGGGGAAUUGGGUGGAGUAGGGCUCACUGAGAGCACUUCAGAGGGAUUGGAGCAGCUGUGGGGCAAAAGCACAGCCGGAGGUCAGGGGACUGUGUCACUGCACUAGCCCAGAAAUACCUGAGCUGCUGGUCUAUGCCUACAUCUGUAAGUAUUUCUGAUAACAUGUGUCCUGCAUUUUCAAGGCUGGGAUGUUUUGCAAGGAGAGGUAAUCUUUGUUCCCAGACUGUGAUGUUCGGAUACACACUCCUCUUCAAAUGUGGCACAGAGAGAGCAAACUUUAUGCUAAGCACAGGCAGGAAGAAACUGCUCUGAAUUUAACUUUGCUUGGUAAAUAAGUUCGACAACAUGAGGGGGAAAAGAAAUGGAUACCUGGCACAUGCAACAGUGGAGGAAACUUGCAAGGGGAAGAGUAAUGCUGGUCUUAUACAGAACAGAGAACAGCAGUUACCCAUUUCCUUUGGGCCACGAGGUGAUUUGUGUGUGGAAAAUGUCACAUACUGUAAGAUCAAUGUCUCCAUUAUAUCCAUGUUGUCAUUUUUGUGCCUGGGCUUGUCUUUGCAGAAUACUUUUUAAGGCUUUUUUGGUGGUCAGGAGAGCAAUCACAGGUGGUGCUUACUUUGGUUAAGGCUCCCACUGCUAAUUCUGUCUGUGUUGUAUUGCUUGUCUAUCGGAAUUAAUAUCUGUAUGGAAUAAUUGUUUGGUUCUAGUAACCGUGUGGUUCAUAGAGUCCUCAUAAUGACUUUUGAUUCAUUAGAUAAAAAAAUAUUUUGGCAUGUCCAGGUUUAGGAGACAUGGAUAUUGGUGGACCUUGGGCAGAGUUCAGCACUCCAGGACUUUGAAUUCACUGUACAGAUCCUUGCCACUCCUGACACUUGUGGCAGAGCAGUUCCGUGUGGCAGUGCUGAGAAACUGAACCUCUGCACGGUUCUCUGGUUUUACAGGUUUGAAAACUCACGCAGAGAAGUUCUGCAGAUUAUUCUCUACUUUCCCCCUCGGAGGGAUGGGGGAUUAUAAAAUAUUCCUGUUACAGACCUGCCGGGUGUCCGCAGGCUUUGCCCUGGGAAGCAGCUCCCGGUGUGGAGCAGGGUGAGAACAGUGCGAGCAGGGCUGGAGCCGCGGGC
Molecule: long non-coding RNA, 3596 nt
Organism: Passer domesticus (house sparrow)
Lineage: Eukaryota; Metazoa; Chordata; Aves; Passeriformes; Passeridae
Exons: 3
Source: RefSeq, a predicted model, not a curated record